RNAcentral lists this non-coding RNA (23 nucleotides) under Drosophila melanogaster (fruit fly). Lineage: Eukaryota; Metazoa; Arthropoda; Insecta; Diptera; Drosophilidae. RNAcentral also lists the same sequence under 3 other names. The record is from RNAcentral.
UCUUUGGUUUUCUAGCUGUAUGA